CCUACGGGAGGCAGCAGUAGGGAAUAUUGCUCAAUGGGGGAAACCCUGAAGCAGCAACGCCGCGUGGAGGAUGAAGUUUUUCGGAUUGUAAACUUCUUUUGUUAGAGAAGAUAAUGACGGUAUCUAACGAAUAAGCACCGGCUAACUCCGUGCCAGCAGCCGCGGUAAUACGGAGGGUGCAAGCGUUACUCGGAUUCACUGGGCGUAAAGAGCGCGUAGGCGGGAUAGCAAGUCAGAUGUGAAAUCCUAUGGCUUAACCAUAGAACUGCAUUUGAAACUGUUAUUCUAGAGUAUGGGAGAGGUAGGUGGAAUUCUUGGUGUAGGGGUGAAAUGCGUAGAGAUCAAGAGGAAUACUGAUUGCGAAGGCGACCUGCUAGAACAUAACUGACGCUUAUGCGCGAAAGCGUGGGGAGCAAACAGGAUUAGAUACCCCUGUAGUC
This 440-nucleotide ribosomal RNA is filed under the name uncultured bacterium. Its description in RNAcentral is "partial 16S ribosomal RNA". It matches the Rfam family "Bacterial small subunit ribosomal RNA", at positions 338 to 795 of the family's 1533-position model. The record is from RNAcentral.